GCGCAGCAGGCGCGAAACCUCUGCAAUAGGCGAAAGCCUGACAGGGUUACUCUGAGUGACUUUCGUUAAGAGAGUCUUUUGGCACCUCUAAAAAGGGUGUAGAAUAAGGGGUGGGCAAGUCUGGUGUCAGCCGCCGCGGUAAUACCAGCACCCCGAGUGGUCGGGACGAUUAUUGGGCCUAAAGCAUCCGUAGCCGGUUCUGCAAGUCCUCCGUUAAAUCCAACUGCUUAACAGAUGGGCCGCGGAGGAUACUACAGAGCUAGGAGGCAGGAGAGGCAAGCGGUACUCAGUGGGUAGGGGUAAAAUCCGUUGAUCCAUUGAAGACCACCAGUGGCGAAGGCGGCUUGCCAGAAUGCGCUCGACGGUGAGGGAUGAAAGCUGGGGGAGCAAACCGGAUUAGAUACCCCGGUAGUCC
RNAcentral lists this ribosomal RNA (415 nucleotides) under uncultured archaeon. RNAcentral describes it as "bacterial SSU rRNA". It matches the Rfam family "Archaeal small subunit ribosomal RNA", at positions 330 to 747 of the family's 1478-position model. The record is from RNAcentral.